CAUUCAUACAGUGUCUAUUGUUCAUUCAUACAUCCCAGUUGAUUCUAUAGUAUUCUUAGUAGCACUGGAUAUACAGCAGGAGCAGGAACUUUUCAUGUGUAUUCACUGGGACUGUAUACCCCUUCCUUUUUAUGCUGAAGACGAGAGGGUACUCAACCUAAUCAAGAAAUGAAGGGAAAAAAAUUGGAGGUUUUGAGGACCGCCUUUUAUAUUUUAUUUGUGGCAACAGUAGCAUCUUCAAAACCAGUCAGUCUACAUGGAUUCCAAUUCAGAAGCAUGAUGGCUGACAGCCUGGCAUCGUCUGAGUCCUGGGAGUCCAGCAAGUCUUCCUCAGAGAAUGGUCAGCCAAUGGUCGCUGGCACUGAUACCGCAAUACCAGACACUCAGGAGGAGACAGACCCACCAGACAGCGAAGCUAUAGCCUCUGAAACAGCCUCAGAAGUUGAUGAUGCUUUAAUUGCUUCACAAACCGCACUUCAAACUGAUGCCUCAUCAGCAGAUGUACUAAAUGGGACAGAAACUGAGGCUACCUCACAGCAUCCAGUCAUCGUUGCAGUGACUGAUUCUCCCAGUCUGACUUCUGAUAAUGCCACAACCCAUAUACGGUCUAUGGUCACAACGGCUCUGCCAUCAAUCACUGACACAGCCACAAUUCAAACAUUCUAUGUGGGCACAACUCCUCCUCCGGGCCCAUACCCCAUACCCAUUAUGGAGCAGCCAACACCUCCACCAGUCUCCCCAAUACUAAGCCUAACUCCCCAGCAGUCAGUUCCAUUGGGAACCACUGAUGACAUAGCUGGUGUGCCAGGUUGUUUUACUGUAGUAUACAUAACAAGACCUCAAGCUCAGCCAGUUCCAGCUAGAGGUGAUAACAUUUAAAGCAGAGAGGAAGUUAUUAUAUCUUUGAUUAAAGUCAGACAUAAAAGCUGGCUUUUUUUUCUUCAUUUGUCUUUAUGAACAUAUGAGCAUGUUGCAGCCACAUAGUGAGCUGGAGGGGCGCCUGUGCUGCAACUGGCUAAAACGCUCAUGAAAAUGAAUCACUAUAAUAUUUUGCACUAUAUAAGUGAUAAAUAUGUAGAUGUACUGUACUUUAUAUUGCUCAGUGUCUUCCAUGAGUCAGUCUCACAUGUAUUUUUUCCCAUCUUUUAUCUUUUGUCUGAUUUAUUUUGGAAGGUGACACAGAUUGCAUUAACACUGUCAACAACAUUUAGUCUAUUUGCAAAAGAGGAUCCACCAUCUGUAAAUAAAUGCUCUUUAAACAUUUAGAAAAAGGACGGAAGUCAGAAAGAGUACCUUUUCGUGUGCUGCAGGAUAUUUUGGGCCUUUUGAUUAUACUGCAAAACUUAUUACAGGCGAUUUACAGAUAAUGCCAGCUGUUGGGCAUUCUUUGUGACUCCCAUUGUGUCCUCAGUUAUCAUUGAAUGAAUGAAUGAUGAUACAUUCCUGGUUUAAUUUUGUACUGUAAAGUUUGUCUGGUAUACAAUUGAAUGUCUGACCCAGAAAGACACAGAGACCCUGGAGCAGAUGGCGUUUAACUUCUGGUAUGAAUGCAAUGCAGUGAGUGAACAAGAGGGUGUUGUUGUUUUUUUCUGGUAUUACAGAGACACAUUUGUUAAGAGAUACCAAAGCUCAUGGCAUGAAGUAUGUUUGCCACCGCACAACACACAUUGAUCAUUUACUUGUGACACAGACACAGAAAAAUAUUUUUCAAAUAGCUUCACUACUUGGACCCCAAAUAAAAAAUGUAAAGUUGUACUUUUUCAUAUUCCUACAUGGAACGUAUAGGAACCAUAGACCAAGGUGGACCCUUAAUGGUCAGCCUACCAUACAAAAGGCAGCAGAAGGUAGCUAAAUGCAUCUGCCACGUUGUAUAGAUGAUAACCUGCAACCAGUUUAGCCCCCUGUUGUCCUGAGAUGAUAACAGUCUGUAAUCUGAUGCAUUGCGAAUGUUAAGCUCUUGAGCCGCUUAAAACCACUUGCGGUGUAAAAUUCAUACUCAUCUGAUAAUGUGGACAGAACACCAUACUAACAUUAAUAGCCUGGUCAGAAAUUACCUCUAUUUUGUAACACUUAUUAGGCACUGUUUUUCAAAACUCCCAACUGAAAUAAGUAAGUUGUUGUUGUCUUCAUUGGGAAUUGUAUUCAUUAACAUUUAUAAAAUGUUGAUUGACAUUUCAAAGCCUCUUAUUCAAGUACCUGUGAAGAUGUAUAAUAUUCAUAAUUUGAAUUUACUGUACACUCUUCACUCUUCACUCUCACUCUUAAACACUCUUUACAAUCCAUUUGGAGGUCCUAUUGAAAUCCACGUAAUCCUAUGGUAUGAUACUGCUUGUGACUGAGUACUACACCCUAAUAGGUCUUGAUGUGUGUCUAAUUACUGUAAUGACCAGGUCUGUCUAGUCAACAACAAACACUAUUUCUGCAUGUUCUUCACUUAAAUACAAAAACAUUGUAGUGAAAAUAAAAUAAACAAAUGCUUGCUCCUAGGGAUGAGGUCAAAUUUCAAUUUAGAUUGACCUGACCCUCAGUGCACUAGUUCAUAUAAACAUGUUUUUUUUGUGAAACACUAACAUAGUUCUCCAGAGCCUGGCAGCUCUAUUCAAACAUCAAGGCUAUAACAAGUUCAGCUUAAGUCCUUAAUUGCUUUAACCAAUAGACUGGUAUGGAAACAGAGGAGAAAAAAGGAAAUACAUUAUAUUGAAACUGGCCCAGUACAAGUGUUUGACUGGAUCUGUGUGUAGACCUUUUAAUCAGCAAGUCAAUAAUCUGAUAUCCUAUAAGAGGAUUCCUUUUCCAAGCCAAGUUAUGUCAGACAAUAAAAUGGCUGUUGAGUUAUUUUAUAGAAUUAAUAUCUUCUCUACGAUCACUAUCAGUCUUCUUGUCAGUGUUAUUGUAUAUAAUUGUUCUCCAUGUGUAGUUGUAACGUAAUUAAUGUAAUUUAAUAUCUUGUCAAAGUGAGCUUGUGGCCUUGAUUUUAAUAGGCUAAGAGAGACCACAGACACCUGUUGUCCACUCUGACAGGAAGCAUGUUAACAUCUUAAAGUCCUUAUCCUGUUUAAACACCCACACAACCUCUUUGUUCUCCUGCAGCACAGGGGUCUCUGUGUCAUUACAAUCUGGCAAUAAACAAUUAACAAUAA
Molecule: non-coding RNA, 3140 nt
Organism: Salmo salar (Atlantic salmon)
Lineage: Eukaryota; Metazoa; Chordata; Actinopteri; Salmoniformes; Salmonidae
Source: RefSeq, a predicted model, not a curated record